CUACGGGGCGCUGCAGUGAGGAAUAUUGCACAAUGGGGGGAACCCUGAUGCAGCAACGCCGCGUGGAGGAUGACGCAUUUCGGUGUGUAAACUCCUUUUAUAUGUCAAGAAAAUGACGGUAGCAUAUGAAUAAGCACCGGCUAACUCCGUGCCAGCAGCCGCGGUAAUACGGGGGGUGCAAGCGUUACUCGGAAUCACUGGGCGUAAAGGACGCGUAGGCGGGUUGGAAAGUCAGGUGUGAAAUCCUACAGCUUAACUGUAGAACUGCACUUGAAACUUCUAAUCUAGAGUAUGGGAGGGGGAGAUGGAAUUAGUGGUGUAGGGGUGAAAUCCGUAGAUAUCACUAGGAAUACCUAAAGCGAAGGCGAUCUCCUGGAACAUUACUGACGCUAAGGCGUGAAAGCGUGGGGAGCAAACAGGAUUAGAUACCCGUGUAGUC
This 439-nucleotide ribosomal RNA is filed under the name uncultured bacterium. Its description in RNAcentral is "partial 16S ribosomal RNA". It matches the Rfam family "Bacterial small subunit ribosomal RNA", at positions 339 to 795 of the family's 1533-position model. The record is from RNAcentral.